AGUCAGAGGCGAUGAAAGACGUGAUAGCCUGCGAAAAGCUCCGGGGAGGCGGCAAAUAUCCUUUGAUCCGGAGAUGUCUGAAUGGGGGAACCCACCUACUUUAAGGUAGGUAUUGCAACAUGAAUACAUAGUGUUGCAAGGCGAACGAGGGGAAGUGAAACAUCUCAGUACCCUUAGGAAAAGAAAUCAAUUGAGAUUCCCUCAGUAGCGGCGAGCGAACGGGGAUCAGCCCAUUAAGUUAUGUGUGUUUUAGUGGAACGCUCUGGGAAGUGCGAACGUAGAGGGUGAUAUUCCCGUACACGAAAGGGCACACAUAAUGAUGACGAGUAGGGCGAGGCACGUGAAACCUUGUCUGAAUAUGGGGGGACCAUCCUCCAAGGCUAAAUACUCCUGACUGACCGAUAGUGAACCAGUACCGUGAGGGAAAGGCGAAAAGAACCCCUGUGAGGGGAGUGAAAUAGAUCCUGAAACCGCAUGCAUACAAGCAGUGGGAGCACCUUCGUGGUGUGACUGCGUACCUUUUGUAUAAUGGGUCAGCGACUUAUAUUCAGUAGCGAGGUUAACCGUAUAGGGGAGCCGUAGAGAAAUCGAGUCUUAAUAGGGCGUUUAGUUGCUGGGUAUAGACCCGAAACCAGGCGAUCUAUCCAUGAGCAGGUUGAAGGUUGGGUAACACUAACUGGAGGACCGAACCCACUGUCGUUGAAAAGCCAGGGGAUGACUUGUGGAUAGGGGUGAAAGGCUAAUCAAGCCUGGUGAUAGCUGGUUCUCCCCGAAAGCUAUUUAGGUAGCGCCUCGGACGAAUACCAUAGGGGGUAGAGCACUGUUUCGGCUAGGGGGUCAUCCCGACUUACCAAACCGAUGCAAACUCCGAAUACCUAUGAGUACUAUCCGGGAGACAGACUGCGGGUGCUAACGUCCGUAGUCAAGAGGAAAACAAUCCAGACCGCCAGCUAAGGCCCCAAAAUCAUAGUUAAGUGGGAAACGAUGUGGGAAGGCAUAGACAGCUAGGAGGUUGGCUUAGAAGCAGCCACCCUUUAAAGAAAGCGUAAUAGCUCACUAGUCGAGUCGGCCUGCGCGGAAGAUGUAACGGGGCUAAAACUAUGUGCCGAAGCUGCGGAUGUAUACUUUGUAUACGUGGUAGGGGAGCGUUCUGUAAGCCGAUGAAGGUGUGUUGAGAAGCAUGCUGGAGGUAUCAGAAGUGCGAAUGCUGACGUGAGUAACGACAAAACGGGUGAAAAACCCGUUCGCCGAAAGACCAAGGGUUCCAGUCCAACGUUAAUCGGGGCUGGGUGAGUCGACCCCUAAGGCGAGGCCGAAAGGCGUAGUCGAUGGGAAAAUGGUUAAUAUUCCAUUACUUCUGUGUAAUGCGAUGAGAGGACGGAGAAGGCUAAAUCAGCCUGGCGUUGGUUGUCCAGGUGAAAGGAUGUAGGCAUGUAUCUUAGGCAAAUCCGGGGUACUCUAUGCUGAGAUCUGAUAGCAAGCUGUACUUGUACAGCGAAGUGGUUGAUGCCAUGCUUCCAGGAAAAGUCUCUAAGCUUCAGUUACACAGGAAUCGUACCCGAAACCGACACAGGUGGUCAGGUCGAGUAGACCAAGGCGCUUGAGAGAACUCUGCUGAAGGAACUAGGCAAAAUGGUACCGUAACUUCGGGAGAAGGUACGCUGUUGUUGGUGAUGGAACUCGCUUCCUGAGCUGACGACAGCCGCAGAAACCAGGCCGCUGCAACUGUUUAUUAAAAACAUAGCACUCUGCAAACACGAAAGUGGACGUAUAGGGUGUGAUGCCUGCCCGGUGCUGGAAGGUUAAUUGAUGGGGUUAGCGUAAGCGAAGCUCUUGAUCGAAGCCCCAGUAAACGGCGGCCGUAACUAUAACGGUCCUAAGGUAGCGAAAUUCCUUGUCGGGUAAGUUCCGACCUGCACGAAUGGCAUAAUGAUGGCGGCGCUGUCUCCAGCAGAGGCUCAGUGAAAUCGAAAUCGCUGUGAAGAUGCAGUGUACCCGCGGCUAGACGGAAAGACCCCGUGAACCUUUACUGCAGCUUGACACUGAACUUUGACCUUACUUGUGUAGGAUAGGUGGGAGGCUUUGAAGCUGGAACGCUAGUUCCAGUGGAGCCGUCCUUGAAAUACCACCCUGGUAAUGUUGAGGUUCUAACUCUGUCCCGUGAUCCGGGACGAGGACCGUGUCUGGUGGGUAGUUUGACUGGGGCGGUCUCCUCCUAAAGAGUAACGGAGGAGUACGAAGGUGCGCUCAGCGUGGUCGGAAAUCACGCGUAGAGUAUAAAGGCUGGCGCUUAUACACAUCUGACG
RNAcentral lists this ribosomal RNA (2306 nucleotides) under Acinetobacter baumannii. RNAcentral's name for it is "bacterial LSU rRNA". It matches the Rfam family "Bacterial large subunit ribosomal RNA", at positions 38 to 2382 of the family's 2925-position model. Lineage: Bacteria; Pseudomonadati; Pseudomonadota; Gammaproteobacteria; Moraxellales; Moraxellaceae. The record is from RNAcentral.